RNAcentral lists this ribosomal RNA (445 nucleotides) under uncultured bacterium. RNAcentral describes it as "partial 16S ribosomal RNA". It matches the Rfam family "Bacterial small subunit ribosomal RNA", at positions 354 to 796 of the family's 1533-position model. The record is from RNAcentral.
GUGAGGAAUAUUGCGCAAUGGAGGCAACUCUGACGCAGCCAUGCCGCGUGCAGGAAGAAGGCGCUACGCGUUGUAAACUGCUUUUAACCGGGAAGAAACCCCAGGACGUGUCCUGGGUUGACGGUACCGGAGGAAUAAGCACCGGCUAACUUCGUGCCAGCAGCCGCGGUAAUACGAAGGGUGCAAGCGUUAUCCGGACUCAUUGGGUUUAAAGGGUGCGUAGGCGGAGCGUUAAGUCAGUGGUGAAAUCCUGCAUCUUAACUGUAGACUUGCCAUUGAUACUGGCGCUCUUGAGUGCGCUUGAAGUGGGCGGAAUGUGCCGUGUAGCGGUGAAAUGCUUAGAUAUGGCACAGAACACCAAUUGCGAAGGCAGCUCACUAAGGCGAUACUGACGCUGAGGCACGAAAGCGUGGGGAUCGAACAGGAUUAGAAACCCUGGUAGUCC